UGCCCUCUAGCUAUAGCAGCAGUCUAGCGCCGGCAGUCACGCUAUAGCAGCGGUUUAGCGUUCGAUCGUCGCGACAUCUAUAUUAGUUAAGCGCCGAUAGUCACGCUAUAGCAGCAGUUUGGCGUUCGAUCGUCGCGACAUCUAUAUUGACCGAGUGUGAUUACGCGUGGGUAUUUACAAGUACUCGAAUGUGGCAGGUACUUUAAAUACUCGAAUACCAUUCUGAUGAGUAUUUCCACGGUUUUCUUUGAAUGCUAUGAACAAUAUUUUGUACAACGUUUUCCGAAACAAAUAAUUCUGCGUUUUGUGUUUCACGUUUUCGAAUCUAAGAACCUAAAACAUUGUGACGUGUCAGCAUUUUCGGUAUGAUAGUGGUGGGCACUGUCGUGUUCCUGCCACGCCCGUUUUUGUGCGGCCGACAUUCUUGUUCAGGAUUGUUUCUGAGGAUGGUUUGAUUUCCCUGGCGCUAAUGAGUGAGUUUAGGAAGUGAAAUCUUGCAUAACUCUAUGUGGAUUGAAUCAGAUAAAUGCCCGUUGUUGAUGGUGAUAUGAAACUAGCAGAUUUACCGUGAUCUCUGUCUGAUAUCAGCACUUGAACUCUGCGCUGGAUUUGUAUUUGUUUGCCGCAUUUCAUGUAUGUAGAGCUAAAGGUCCGCGAUAAGGCCUAGAAACUAGAAAGUAUUUUGAGAAUGUUAUUUUGUUUAAGGCUGUGAAUAGCCAAGCCAAAGGUGUUUCAGGUUUGUCCGUGUUUGAGUACCAAACUGAUAACUUUGUUUCUGCAGGAAUAAUAUGAAGAGACUGUUUCGACCGUGUGUCAGAGGGAAUCAGCCCCCCAGUUAGUCCGGCAUGAGGUGCACACAGUCAAAACGGAUCUAUAGACAAGAUGAAUACAAGGUCCUGUGUUUGAC
Molecule: long non-coding RNA, 907 nt
Organism: Amphibalanus amphitrite
Lineage: Eukaryota; Metazoa; Arthropoda; Thecostraca; Balanomorpha; Balanidae
Exons: 2
Source: RefSeq, a predicted model, not a curated record